GACAGAGGGUGCAAACGUUGUUCGGAAUUACUGGGCGUAAAGCGUGUGUAGGCGGCCAUAUAAGUCGGAUGUGAAAGCCCUGGGCUCAACCCAGGAAGUGCACUCGAUACUGUGUGGCUUGAGUACUGGAGAGGUUGGUGGAAUUCUCGGUGUAGAGGUGAAAUUCGUAGAUAUCGAGAGGAACACCGGUGGCGAAGGCGGCCAACUGGACAGAAACUGACGCUGAGACACGAAAGCGUGGGGAGCAAACAGG
RNAcentral lists this ribosomal RNA (253 nucleotides) under uncultured bacterium. RNAcentral's name for it is "partial 16S ribosomal RNA". It matches the Rfam family "Bacterial small subunit ribosomal RNA", at positions 524 to 776 of the family's 1533-position model. The record is from RNAcentral.